This 481-nucleotide ribosomal RNA is filed under the name uncultured bacterium. Its description in RNAcentral is "partial 16S ribosomal RNA". It matches the Rfam family "Bacterial small subunit ribosomal RNA", at positions 30 to 506 of the family's 1533-position model. The record is from RNAcentral.
AUUGAACGCUGGCGGCAUGCCUUACACAUGCAAGUCGAACGGUAACAGGUCUUCGGAUGCUGACGAGUGGCGAACGGGUGAGUAAUACAUCGGAACGUGCCCGAUCGUGGGGGAUAACGAAGCGAAAGCUUUGCUAAUACCGCAUACGAUCUACGGAUGAAAGCAGGGGACCGCAAGGCCUUGCGCGAACGGAGCGGCCGAUGGCAGAUUAGGUAGUUGGUGGGAUAAAAGCUUACCAAGCCGACGAUCUGUAGCUGGUCUGAGAGGACGACCAGCCACACUGGGACUGAGACACGGCCCAGACUCCUACGGGAGGCAGCAGUGGGGAAGUUUGGACAAUGGGCGAAAGCCUGAUCCAGCCAUGCCGCGUGCAGGAUGAAGGCCUGCGGGUUGUAAACUGCUUUUGUACGGAACGAAAAGACUCUGGUUAAUACCUGGGGUCCAUGACGGUACCGUAAGAAUAAGCACCGGCUAACUACGU